RNAcentral lists this small nuclear RNA (98 nucleotides) under Cebus imitator (Panamanian white-faced capuchin). Lineage: Eukaryota; Metazoa; Chordata; Mammalia; Primates; Cebidae. The record is from RNAcentral.
CUACUUCUGCAGCACAUAUGCUAAAAUUGGAAUGACACAGAGAUUAGCAUGGCCCCUGCGCAAAGAUGACACACAAUUCGUGCACAUUCUAUGUUAAU